This is a long non-coding RNA of Peromyscus maniculatus bairdii (prairie deer mouse), 2649 nucleotides long. RefSeq lists it as uncharacterized. The record is from RefSeq and is a predicted model, not a curated record. NCBI's taxonomy places the organism in Eukaryota, Metazoa, Chordata, Mammalia, Rodentia, Cricetidae.
AGAGAGAGAGAGAGAGAGAGAGAGAGAGAGAGAGAGAAAGGGAGAAAGGGAGAAAGGGAGAAAGAAAGAAAACAGUAAGACCCACUUGCCUGACAAAGGCCAGGCUCCAACUCAGAAUUGUGAUUUGAGCUGUUGUCUCUGGCUGUGUCUUUGAUGUCAUUAAACUGCUGUUGAUCACCAUGUGGGUAAACUUCCUCCUCGGGGACACUUGGGUCAAAGGUAAGGUGAGUGCAGGUCACUUAUCAGUUCCAGGCAAGACCUACUGUGCAUCUGCAUAGUCAUGAUCUUGUCCCUUCCAGAUAGAGAGCCUGUGAGUAGAGUUCUUUCUGAUGUGGAAAGCCAUGCAUUCCUGCUCAGAGCACUUGUGUUUACUAUCAGAGCACUUGUGUUUACUAUCAUGGACAGCAAUGAAUGUCUAGUGCAGCCAUCUAAAAGUAAGGCGUGAAAGAAUGAGUUUCAGGGUCCCUUAACUUAGUUUAAAGGGUAAUAAAUUGCAAACUUAUCUCAAAAGAGUGCUAUGAAAACUGUAAGAGAUCAUGUGCAUAGAGCAGACUUUCCAACAUGUGAAUCCACCACAUUGUGCCCACAAGCACCACAGUGGUGGGUCAGUCACCACUGCCCUCCAGAAAUAAAGGGAUCCAGGUUCUGGAGAAAGUCUUGCAGCCCUUUCCCAUUUCUUGAAGGAGCCUUGGGCUGCCAUUCAGCUUGGUGCUGGGUUCAGUUGGCCCAGGCCUUAUUCCAACCCUCCUUCUUGACUGUUGACUAUACUGGCUACUCUGACCUCUAUUCUGUUUAUGACAGGAAGGGUGUAUCACCCACAAAGGAGUGACGGAAACCUCAGAGGGGACAGGUAGACUAUAGUGUCCAGGACAAUGGAGCUAGCCUUGGGACUCAUGGGACCCUCCAAUCUCAAGUUGUAAAUCUGGGCAACAUCCCCAGCCCUAUCUAUGCUGGCCCUAGACCAUUGUAGCUGCUUUGCUUCUGCACUUUGGGAAAGACAGGAAGGCAAGGAUACUAGUGGAGGGUGUGAACCCAGAGGGUGUGAAUGUAAUAUAUCUUGGAUUUGUUUGGAAGCAUUUCAUCCUACUUACCUGUCUUGAGCCACCUCUCCAUGUGUACCCCUAAGCUCUCCAUUGGAGUCCAGCUUCAGUUAUCACCUCUUCUUCCAGUAGAAUCAGAACAUCUACUGAGUGUCAAUCAAAACCACAAACCUCAGACCCCUGGCUUAUACUUGCAAUAUCUGCCAGCUUCCUGACUUUUGUGGUACAGCCUGAGGCUUUAUUCCUCCCCUUCCUACCAAGCUUCCUAUAGAAAGUAGACUUCAGCUGCCCAUACAGAGGACACAUGCACUGUUGGAGGGUGUAGUAAUUUGAAUAAGAAUGCCCCCAUAGGCUCAUAUAUUUGAAUGCUUAGUAAUGAGGAAGUGGCACUAUUUAAAAGGAUUAGGAGCUGUGGCCUUGCUGGAGGUUUCAAAAGCUUAAGCCAGAACCAGGGUCUCUCUUCCUGAUGAUUGCAGAUCUGGGUGUAGAACUCUCAGCCACUUCUCCAGCACCAUGUCUGCCUGAGUAAGACUGUACUUCCUGGCAUGAUGAUAAUGGAUUAAACCUCUGAAACUGAAAUUUGGACGGACUCUACUGGAGUUGGAGCCUGGAGCAGAGGCCAGAGGCUCCUGGCCCACGAGCCCCAGAAAGAAGUAGAGGUGCAGCAGCCCCUGCCACAGGGGAAUCAGCAGCCAGGACCAGAACCCUGCCUGAGGGGGGACCUGAAGCUGCUGCAGUCCAUCUUUUAUUGCAGCUUCUGCAUUGCCAGUCCUGCAGGCUGGAGCUGGAGUGUGCAGACCAGGACAACACCAGGACUGCAUCUCUGUUCAUGGUGGUUGGUUCCAGGGGGCCUCAUCAGCAUCCAAGGCAAUGUCACAUACCUUGCUGUGCCCCGAAUCUGGUCAGUGGAAUCUGAUGACCCUAACUUGACUGCUGUCUUGGAAAAGCUCUGCUGGGUGACUGUCUGGCAGUAUGCUGGCUGGGCUGAUGGCUGAGGUUUUACAAGAAUUGGAAAUGGGGCUGGUCCAGGAGAAGUGCCUGAUAAUGCAUUAUUUGGGCAUUGUACAUCUACCUUAGGUCCACCUUAGGAAGGCCUGUACAGAGUGUGGGGUGAUUAGGAACAGUUCCCUGCCUGCCUUAGUUAGGGUUUCUAUUGCUGUGAUGAAAAACUACAACCAAAGCAACUUGGGGCGGAAAGGGUUAUUUGACUCACACUUCCACAUCACUGUUCAUCAGUUGAGGAAGUCAGGACAGGAACCUGGAGUCAGGGACUGAUGCAGAGGUCAUGGAGGGGAGCUGCUUACUGCCUUCUCCUCGUGGCUUUCUCAGCCUCUUUUUUGUAAAUAGAAAUCAGGACCUCCAGCCCAGUAAUGGCACCACCCACAAUGGACUGGGCCCUACCCAUCAAUCACAAACUUAGAAAAUGUCUUGUGGGUUUGCCUACAGCCCAGUCUUAUGGAUGUGUUUUCUUAGUUGAGGUUCCCUCUGAUGACUUCAGCCUGUGUCAAGUUGACCUAGCCAACACACUGCCCAAAGUCAGUUUGUCCAACUCAGUCCUGUAGUAUAUUUAAAAGACUUUUCCCACCAAAAAUAAAAAAAUAAAAAAGCA